AAAACUUAGUAUCACAUAUAAUGAAUAAUAUUAAAACUCAAUAGUGAAUAAUAAUACAACUCCAUAAUAUAUAACCAAAAACAAAAAAAUACAACUUCAUAAUAAAAUAAUAAAUAACAUUAAACAUAUGCCUAAAUUUAUCAUUAGGGAUUUUUUUUUUAAUGGAAAUUUAUCCUAGAUAAUAUUAGCUUGCAGAAAUUUUAAAGACCAUAUAAAUAUUACACGUCGUAGCUUUAUUCACAAACUCGUUCGCAGCAUGUUGGAUAAGGCUCAGUAGGAGGAUUAGAGAGAGAGGGGUUCGAGUCCCCUUGUGCGCAAAACCGCCAUUUCUCAACAAUUUUCAUUUAUUUUUCUGUUUCAUAUCGCGAUAUUAUCGAUAAUAUCGCGAUAUAAUGCCCAAAUAAAGCAUGAAACCGCCAUUUCUCAACAAUUUUCAUUUAUUUUUCAGUUUCAUAUCGCGAUAUUAUCGAUAAUAUCGCGAUAUAAUGCCCAAAUAAAGCAUGAACGAGUAGGAAAUUAUCGCCUCCGACAUUAUCGACGAAAAUAUCGAUAUAUUGAUGAAAUUUAAAUGGAUAUGUACUAUAAUAUCGUCCAUCCAAAAAAAUAAUAUUAUCGGCGAAAUAUUUUUAAGACUCUGGUUGAGACUUUAUUUAUUAUUUUUGUUUAUUA
Molecule: long non-coding RNA, 669 nt
Filed under: Prunus dulcis (almond)
Lineage: Eukaryota; Viridiplantae; Streptophyta; Magnoliopsida; Rosales; Rosaceae
Description: sRNA ncRNA
Source: RNAcentral